UAGGGAAUCUUCCGCAAUGGACGCAAGUCUGACGGAGCAACGCCGCGUGAGUGAAGAAGGACUUCGGUUCGUAAAACUCUGUUGUUAGAGAAGAACAGCGCAUAGAGUAACUGUUAUGCGUGUGACGGUAUCUAACCAGAAAGCCACGGCUAACUACGUGCCAGCAGCCGCGGUAAUACGUAGGUGGCAAGCGUUGUCCGGAUUUAUUGGGCGUAAAGCGAGCGCAGGCGGUCAAUUAAGUCUGAUGUGAAAGCCCCCGGCUCAACCGGGGAGGGUCAUUGGAAACUGGUUGACUUGAGUGCAGAAGAGGAGAGUGGAAUUCCAUGUGUAGCGGUGAAAUGCGUAGAUAUAUGGAGGAACACCAGUGGCGAAGGCGACUCUCUGGUCUGUAACUGACGCUGAGGCUCGAAAGCGUGGGUAGCAAACAGG
RNAcentral lists this ribosomal RNA (429 nucleotides) under Bacteroidota bacterium. RNAcentral's name for it is "Bacteroidetes bacterium partial 16S ribosomal RNA". It matches the Rfam family "Bacterial small subunit ribosomal RNA", at positions 355 to 776 of the family's 1533-position model. Lineage: Bacteria; Pseudomonadati; Bacteroidota. The record is from RNAcentral.